AUUGAACGCUGGCGGUAUGCUUAACACAUGCAAGUCGAACGGCAGCACGGUCUGUAGUAAUACAGAUGGGUGGCGAGUGGCGGACGGGUGAGUAAUACGCAGGAAUCUGCCCUAUAGAGGGGGAUAACUCGAGGAAACUCGAGCUAAUACCGCAUAGUCUCUACGGAGUAAAGCUGGGGCAACUCGGCGCUAUAGGAGGAGCCUGCGUCUGAUUAGCUAGUUGGUGGGGUAAAGGCCUACCAAGGCGACGAUCAGUAGGUGGUCUGAGAGGAUGAUCACCCACACUGGGACUGAGACACGGCCCAGACUCCUACGGGAGGCAGCAGUGGGGAAUAUUGGACAAUGGGGGCAACCCUGAUCCAGCAAUACCGCGAGUGUGAAGAAGGCCUUAGGGUUGUAAAGCACUUUAGGCGGGGAAGAAGGUAUGUAUUUUAAGAGAUAACAUAUUUGACGGUACCCGCAGAAUAAGCACCGGCUAACUCUGUGCCAGCCGCCGCAGUAA
Molecule: ribosomal RNA, 502 nt
Filed under: uncultured bacterium
Lineage: Bacteria
Description: partial 16S ribosomal RNA
Rfam family: Bacterial small subunit ribosomal RNA
Source: RNAcentral